Molecule: long non-coding RNA, 357 nt
Filed under: Musa acuminata (dwarf banana)
Lineage: Eukaryota; Viridiplantae; Streptophyta; Magnoliopsida; Zingiberales; Musaceae
Description: long non-coding RNA (MACU_LNC000406)
Source: RNAcentral
CGCCUUUCUGUCGAUCUCAUCUUCUUCCUCCAUCUCCGCAUGAUCCUCGCAUUCCAGUACCGCAUUGUCGUCGUCGUCAUCAUCCUCGCAGCCGAUCUCGCUCGCCGCUUUCGUCUCAUGCUUAUCCGGUAAGUAAGCAUUCCUGUCAAGCUUGGCGAAGAUGAGAUCGUCGUCGUCCGUAUCCAAGUCCGCGUCAGGAUUGAUGCAGGGGAUGCGGAGAAGCCGCAUGGAAGGCGUCUUGAAGUGGAAAGCUGGUGUCUCCUCGACGGAGAACUCGCGCUCUCCGAAGUGGAGCCUGUCGGAGCGGCGGCCACCGGGUUUAAGGCUCUUGAGGUAGCCGGGGACGACGCGGAGGCC